RNAcentral lists this ribosomal RNA (446 nucleotides) under uncultured bacterium. RNAcentral describes it as "bacterial SSU rRNA". It matches the Rfam family "Bacterial small subunit ribosomal RNA", at positions 29 to 507 of the family's 1533-position model. The record is from RNAcentral.
AACGAACGCUGGCGGCAUGCCUAACACAUGCAAGUCGAACGAGACCCCUGACUUCGGUUGGCGGGUCUAGUGGCGCACGGGUGCGUAACGCGUGGGAAUCUGCCCUUGGGUUCGGAAUAACUCAGAGAAAUUUGAGCUAAUACCGGAUGAUGACGAAAGUCCAAAGAUUUAUCGCCCAGGGAUGAGCCCGCGUAAGAUUAGCUUGUUGGUGGGGUAAUGGCCUACCAAGGCGACGAUCUUUAGCUGGUCUGAGAGGAUGAUCAGCCACACUGGGACUGAGACACGGCCCAGACUCCUACGGGAGGCAGCAGUGGGGAAUAUUAAACAAUGGGCGCAAGCCUGAUCCAGCAAUGCCGCGUGAGUGAUGAAGGCCUUAGGGUUGUAAAGCUCUUUUACCAGGGAUGAUAAUGACAGUACCUGGAGAAUAAGCUCCGGCUAACUCCGUG